Long non-coding RNA from Lolium rigidum, 1267 nucleotides. RefSeq lists it as uncharacterized. The transcript has 3 exons. The record is from RefSeq and is a predicted model, not a curated record. Lineage: Eukaryota; Viridiplantae; Streptophyta; Magnoliopsida; Poales; Poaceae.
UCCUCGGCCGGAGCAGCCUCCUCCUCGUCCUCCCCAACGCCUCCGGCGUCAUGCUCGGCCCUAACGGCGCGGUUUUUGUCUCCUCCGGGAUCCCCGACCUCGGCAGUAAGCAUGCCCAUAUUCCUUCUCGCUCUCUUCAGUCAUGAUGCAAGAUUUUGCAAUCGGGCGGAAGUUGUGAUAGAGCUUAGGUGCAAUGAUCAUAUGGAGUAAGACCAUUUUCUCUAGUUUGAACUUUGAAUCUUGCGACUUGGGUGUGAACUGUGAAUUAGAUUCCUUAACAAGUGCUACAGAUUUACUUUUGCGCAAUAACAAGUACUACUACAGAUUACCUGCGUACAGAUGAUUAUGUAUGCCAUGAGAGAUUAUUCUUGGGGCCAGGAGAGUACAAGGACUUUUUUUAGCUGAAAGAAAAAUGUGCUGUCCUAUUGGGUUGUCGAUUUGUCGUGAUUUGUCAGGUUUUGUUGCAGUGAUUCUGGGUGGCGGUUUCGUCAUCCGUUUGGUUGUGAACUUGUGAUGGUCAUGGAGGAGUCCGACGUGCCUCACCACCUCCUCCUUCUCCGGGCUUUUAUUUCGCAGGGUGUUGUGCACAAGCAGCCCCUGCUCUUCGCAAGGCCUAUGAAGGAGCCCUGCUCAUUCCUCGGCGCGCUGCCUGCUCCAAUCAGUUCCUUGAAGGAGGAAUCAUGUCAACGAGCGAUAGAGGAGCAAGUGUUAGUGAUGAGGGUUUGAGGAUCGCUUGGCAGUACAGGAAAUAUUUUGGGGACGAGAGGACCUCUGGUGCUAAACACAGAGGUGGUACACUGAUAUAUCUCUUUCCUUUGUUUGUGUCGGUUUUCACUGGAUAAUCUGCUACUUUUCAAACAAAGCAAAUAUUAUAUUGCCUGUGUAAUUGCUUCCUGAUGCUAAUGGGUUGACAGCUAUCUUUUUAUUGCCUAUUAUAGUUUGCUUGCAUAAGCAUCAUUUCUGGAACUGAUAUAAGUUAUGCUAUCAUUAUUGUAUCACAAGAUGUUUGCGAAAAGAGCUGACCCAGUUAGUAUUGUUGCAGACAGCAAGCAGGAGUUCAGUAAUGAUUUUGAUUUACGGAAGCGCUUGGAACAACAUUUACUUAAUGCACAGCAUACUGCUCAAGAUGUAGACACUCUCAGUGAUCUCUAGAAUCGUUGUUCCACUUUUUUAUACAAGCAUCCAAGAAAAGAUGGUGGAACUCUGAAUGCUGGACGAAUUGCUAUAUAGUCUCUGUGUGCACCACAGUGUGGAUAUUUUGUAAAGG